CCGUGCUAGCCGGGGAGGUAGCGGCACCCUGUCGCCCACAAUCCGCUGUAGUGGGGUUGAUGCCUGUCCUUAGGCUCCUUCUUCGUGGGGUCUGCCUUGAAUAAGUGGCGUUGACGAUCGAGUCUUGCGCAAUAGGAACUUUUGAACCGUGUCAGGUCCGGAAGGAAGCAGCACUAAGAAAGUCCCC
RNAcentral lists this signal recognition particle RNA (187 nucleotides) under Clostridiales bacterium. RNAcentral's name for it is "partial signal recognition particle sRNA large type". It matches the Rfam family "Bacterial large signal recognition particle RNA", at positions 1 to 183 of the family's 256-position model. Rfam says of the family: The signal recognition particle (SRP) is a universally conserved ribonucleoprotein involved in the co-translational targeting of proteins to membranes. Archaeal SRP consists of a 7S RNA and homologues of the eukaryotic SRP19 and SRP54 proteins. Lineage: Bacteria; Bacillati; Bacillota; Clostridia; Eubacteriales. The record is from RNAcentral.